GAUGCAGCGACGCCGCGUGGGGGAUGACGGCCUUCGGGUUGUAAACUCCUUUCGCUAGGGACGAAGCUUUUUGUGACGGUACCUAGAUAAGAAGCACCGGCUAACUACGUGCCAGCAGCCGCGGUAAUACGUAGGGUGCGAGCGUUGUCCGGAAUUACUGGGCGUAAAGGGCUCGUAGGUGGUUUGUCGCGUCGUCUGUGAAAUUCCGGGGCUUAACUCCGGGCGUGCAGGCGAUACGGGCAUAACUUGAGUACUGUAGGGGUAACUGGAAUUCCUGGUGUAGCGGUGAAAUGCGCAGAUAUCAGGAGGAACACCGAUGGCGAAGGCAGGUUACUGGGCAGUUACUGACGCUGAGGAGCGAAAGCAUGGGUAGCGAACAGGAUUAGAUACCCUGGUAGUCCAUGCCGUAAACGGUGGGCGCUAGGUGUGAGGGUCUUUUCACGACUUUCGUGCCGUAGCUAACGCAUUAAGCGCCCCGCCUGGGGAGUACGGCCGCAAGCGUA
Molecule: ribosomal RNA, 503 nt
Filed under: uncultured eubacterium A5-K1
Lineage: Bacteria
Description: bacterial SSU rRNA
Rfam family: Bacterial small subunit ribosomal RNA
Source: RNAcentral